This 461-nucleotide ribosomal RNA is filed under the name uncultured bacterium. RNAcentral describes it as "partial 16S ribosomal RNA". It matches the Rfam family "Bacterial small subunit ribosomal RNA", at positions 338 to 795 of the family's 1533-position model. The record is from RNAcentral.
CCUACGGGAGGCAGCAGUGAGGAAUAUUGGUCAAUGGACGAGAGUCUGAACCAGCCAAGUAGCGUGAAGGAUGACUGCCCUAUGGGUUGUAAACUUCUUUUUUUUUGGGAUUAAAAUGUUCCCCGUUUGGGUUUUUGUUUGUACCUAAUGAUUAAGGACCGGCUAACUCCGUCCCAGCAGCCGCGGUAAUACGGAGGAUCCGAGCGUAAGCCGGAUUUAUUGGGUUUAAAGGGAGCGUAGGUGGAUUGUUAAGUCAGUUGUGAAAGUUUGCGGCUCAACCGUAAAAUUGCAGUUGAAACUGGCAGUCUUGAGUACAGUAGAGGUGGGCGGAAUUCGUGGUGUAGCGGUGAAAUGCUUAGAUAUCACGAAGAACUCCGAUUGCGAAGGCAGUUCACUGGACUGCAACUGACACUGAGGCUCGAAAGUGUGGGUAUCAAACAGGAUUAGAUACCCCUGUAGUC